AUUCUGUUUUCAUCUGAGAGGCAGAUUUAACCGGCGUCCCGUGUCUUCCUGGCAGUCCUGCCCUGGAGUCACACUCCACAGCUGGCUGGAGGCGUGAUCCUGGGUGUGGCCCUGUGGCUCCGCCAUGACCCGCAGACCACCAACCUCCUGUAUCUGGAGCUGGGAGACAAGCCCGCGCCCAACACCUUCUAUGUAGGAGCAGGAGUGAUGGAGGAGGAGGAGGAGGGCCGUCUCACUGUGCAGAGAGCAGCGCCCUUCCUCCUGGUGCCCCUGGCAGGGCUGGUGCUGGUGGGGCUCUGGGAGCAUUUGUUGAGAUGCUUCUGGCCUUGAAAGGAGGCCCCUGGGAUGGCUCUGUUGUCCUCACAGGCUGAGGGGUGGGUGAGGUGGGCAGCCUGUGUGUCCCCAGUCCUCAGGGCUUCCCUCAGCCGGCAGGUGCCCCCAGGCCUGAAGCUGCAGGGCCAGGCCCCCUGCCAGUUACGGAGGCUGCUUGGCUUGGUUGCUGAACCAGGGCCCCAGGAGGCCGAAAUGGCCCCACACCUGCACCGUCCCACCUCUUUGUCCAGUCACCCCAGGGCCAGGCAUCUACAUCCUCAUCGCUGUGGGCGCUGUCAUGAUGUUCGUCGGCUUCCUGGGCUGCUACGGGGCCAUCCAGGAAUCCCAGUGCCUGCUGGGGACGUUCUUCACCUGCCUGGUCAUCCUGUUUGCCUGUGAGGUGGCCGCCGGCAUCUGGGGCUUUGUCAACAAGGACCAGAUCGCCAAGGACGUGAAGCAGUUCUAUGACCAGGCCCUACAGCAGGCCGUGGUGGAUGAUGACGCCAACAACGCCAAGGCCGUGGUGAAGACCUUCCACGAGACGCUUGACUGCUGCGGCUCCAGCACACUGACUGCUUUGACCACCUCAGUGCUCAAGAACAAUUUGUGUCCCUCGGGCAGCAACAUCAUCAGCAACCUCUUCA
This 956-nucleotide small RNA is filed under the name Pan troglodytes (chimpanzee). Its description in RNAcentral is "processed transcript". Lineage: Eukaryota; Metazoa; Chordata; Mammalia; Primates; Hominidae. The record is from RNAcentral.